UUCACCUUUGCGGUUGAGUGUUUUGCUUCGGUCAAUCUGUAACGAAGAAAACGAUAAUUACAAUGGUGGAAGAAUUACGCAAAAUGAGAAUUGGGAAUGGUCUCAUCGGAGGCUUUUUUGUAUUUUUUCGCGGCGGCGCUGCCGGGCUUUGUUUGCAGUUUUCAGCCAACCCGUCGGUUCUUUUGCUCUGAUUUGGCCACGACAAUGUCUAAAAUUAAAUUUCGAGUAAAGAAGAAAAUUUU
RNAcentral lists this long non-coding RNA (242 nucleotides) under Carica papaya (papaya). Its description in RNAcentral is "long non-coding RNA (CPAP_LNC002372)". Lineage: Eukaryota; Viridiplantae; Streptophyta; Magnoliopsida; Brassicales; Caricaceae. The record is from RNAcentral.